This 378-nucleotide ribosomal RNA is filed under the name Triticum aestivum (bread wheat). RNAcentral's name for it is "partial small subunit ribosomal RNA". The record is from RNAcentral. Lineage: Eukaryota; Viridiplantae; Streptophyta; Magnoliopsida; Poales; Poaceae.
AUGGUCCUGUCGGCGGCGUUCGACAGCAGGACGAACGAUGUGGAGAGCUCCGUCGCGGCCCGCGGCGACCUGUGGCGCGCCGAGGCGUCGCACUCCAGCAGCGGCAGCAGAGGCGGCGGUGACGGCGGCGCGGCGCCGCUGUUCCUGGUGCAGCUCGGGCCCGUGCUCUUCCUCCGCGACACGACGCUACUCUUCCCCGUGCACCUCUCCAAGCGCCACCUCAUCUGGUACGGCUUCGAGCACAAGAACGGAGUGCACUCGGUGUGCCCGGCGUACUGGAAAGCUCGCCGGAGAUGCUUCUUCAUGUCGAUGAUCUGCCUCAACCCCUUUGCCUGCUCAUUCAUGGACAUGCAAUUCCCCAACGGGCAGCUCAGAUAG